Long non-coding RNA from Mus musculus (house mouse), 4782 nucleotides. RefSeq annotates it as predicted gene 28154. The record is from RefSeq and is a predicted model, not a curated record. The transcript has 5 exons. NCBI's taxonomy places the organism in Eukaryota, Metazoa, Chordata, Mammalia, Rodentia, Muridae.
GGAGGAGGAGGAGGAGGAGGAGGAGGAGACCAGCAGGCUUCUACCUUUAUGUAAAGCCCACUCAGCAGCCCCAAACUGCAACCUUCCACUGGGCUCCAUAAACUGGCCUAAAACUCUGAUUCCUUUUCUGGAGGGCUGCCAGGAAAAACAACACACCUAAAAGCUUUAGUUUAAAAAUGAGCAAACACACUAUGUUUGGUGUGAUUCUUUACAGAGGAGUAGAUAGCAAGAAAUACUCAAACUCAGAGCUGAAAUAAAUCAAUUAGUAACAAAGAAAACAAUACAAAGACUCAAUGAAAGAGUUGGUUCUUUGAGAUCAUCAACAAGAAAUCCUUAUCCAAUCAAACUAAAAGGCAGAGGCAAUAUCCAAAUUGGCAAAAUCGGAAAUCAAAAGGGGGCUAAAAACAACAGACAAUGAGGAAAUCUAAAGAUUCGUUAGGUCUUACUUCAAAAACCUGUACUCCACAAAAUUGUAAAUUCUAAAUAAAAUGGACAAUUUUCUUGACAGAUACCGUUUGCCAAAGAUAAAGCAAGAUUGAAUAAACAAUUUAAAGAUGUAUUCUUAGGAUAAACAGAAAAGGAAAGACUAUGUCUUAACAAUGCUAUGCUUGUGUGUCAAUUUACAUAGGGAUCAAUUAUCCCAGCUAGUUUUACCUGAACUUGACAAAGGCUACAUUCAUCUGAAAGUUGGGAACGUCAAUUAAGAAAAUCUGUCUAUAAGAUAAAACUGCAGAGCAUGUUCUUAACUAGGGAUUGAUGUGAGAAGGCCCAUUCCAUUGUGGACAGUGCUAUUGAAUGGCUGGUGGUACUCAGUUCUAUAAGGAAGCAGGUUGCAGGCCAUAAAGAACAAGAGGAUAGGCAGCACUCCUCCGCGCAUCUGCAUUUUCUCCUGCCUCCAGGUAACUCCCCCGUUAGAAUUCCUAUCCUGAUUACCUUCAGUAAUAUGGAAGUAUAAGCCGAGUAAAUCCUUUUUUUCUCCAAUUUGUUUUUUAUUGUAGUGUUUUAUCGUAGCUAUAGAAGCCCUACCUUAGACAAGGCCUCUACAGAGAGCCUCUUAGAGAUUGCUCCUGACACAAGUGUGCAUGCAAAAUGACAGACUAAGAAGACAAAAGUAUCAUCUACAACAGUUGGUUCAAGUGUCUCAUGUAUUCUUCAAUAAGACUGUGCCCAUCCUAAGUUAAAUACCAAACGAGGAAGAGAGAAUGAACUCAAAACAGGACUCUAGUGCUUUCCUAAAAAUGGCCUCAUCACUGUGCAUAAAUGUAGAACAAAUUAUUUAGACUCUAAUCAUUGUUUCAAUAAAGCAAGCAUCUUUGGAGAGGAGAGGCUGCUCAGAUUUACAUUAAAUGUGGUGCAGAAAGGAGAGAGUUAGGUUAAAAUCAGGUGAGCUCAUCUACAGUAGCAAGUUCUCUCUCUCUCUCUCUCUCUCUCUCUCUCUCUCUCUCUCUCUCUCUCUUUGCUUCAUCUUCAUUUUUCUCUUUUGACUAGUCAAAAUGAUUAAGUUUUAAGCCAGUGACAUAUAGUAUAAAUGACCCUAGAUUAUGAUGAAAGUUUUAAUUAUUGCUUGCUAAGUUUUUUUUGUAUAGACAUAACUUCUUCCAAAAUGACACGGCAUUCCCUCUUAUUGUUUAUUCUGUAAAGAAGAAAUGGAUUAAUAGGCCAGGUGUAGUAGUGUAUAGAUCAAACAAAAUGUAAGAUUUGUUGUUUUAUUUUCCAAGUUCUUUCUAAACCAGAAACUUGUUUGCUGCCUUUUGAGAAGUAUGUUCAAGUAGUCAUUGAGACCUGUGCCAAGAACCAGCCCAAGCUGAUGGCUGUGGUUAGUGGAAAUCUUAUUUGUUUUGUGAAUCAGAUCCAGUGGGGAGAAAAAAAAGGCAACUUUUGAACAAAAUUGUAAAAAGAAACAGGUCUAAAAAAAAUUGAAAUAUUUAAUCCAAAGAAAAUAAUAAUGAUUAAGUGGAAAAUAAUGUUCAUACCCUCUUAUUUUGACUUCACACACUGGAAGCUUUUUUAUGGUCCUAUAGUGCUGCUGUCACUGUGGAGAGUUGUGCUCCAUCAGCAGUAGUUUACUGAUGAUAUUUCUCUCAGUCUUGGGUUAAAUAGUGGCACGAAAAAGUAGUUGGUAAAUUUCAUUGAUAACUAUUUUGAGUGAAAAUUUGUCAACUAAUACAGGGCUUUAUCUAGAAGAGCACUCCUAGUAAGUCUUUAGCUGGACAGCUCUAGCAGGGCAUGGCUAGUUUCUAAGCAUAGAGUUGAACUUGGCUCAAGAGGUCUCUCCUCCAGGUGCUGACAUGACCUUCUUUCUGAAUAAAUUAGCUUCAGUUUUGGAGGAAAUAUCAGCAUAGAUACUUAUCCAAUCACAAUCCAUGUCCAAAAGUACCAUAUUAAUUCCUACUUGGCAAAUUAAUGUAGAAAAUAACCUAGAAAAAAUAGUCUUUUUAACUAACUGCCCUUGGUGAGCACUGAGUUUAUUGUUCUCCUACUUUAACAGCAUCUUCUUUCCCCUAAAGGACAACCACUUCAUUGUAUAUUUUUAAAUUGAAUUUCAACUUUUUAUGUAUAGUCCUCUCAGUGAAAACUUUUUAGAAUUGUUUUAUUUUCUGUCAUGAUAAAAAAACAAUGUAGGCCAUAAAAAAAGUUUCACCUGUUUGGCAAGGUUAAUGGUAGUUUGCCAUAGUUGGUAUUAAAAUGUUAUGGUCAUCAAGAGUCAUCAAGCCUCUACAAGACCAAGCUUAUCCCCUCCCAUUGAGGGCAGACAAGGCCAUGUAUGCUCCUCAGUAGGUGGCUUAGUCUCUGGGAGCCCUGAGGGGUCUGAUGAGUGGAUAUUGUUUAUCUUCCUUUGGGGUUACAAUCUUCUUCUGCUCCUUCAGUCCUUUCCCUAACUCUUCCAAAGGGGUCUCUGAUCUCUGUCCAAUGAUUGUCUGUAUCUGAAUCUGUCUCAGUCAGUUGUCAGUAGAGCCUCUCAGAGGACAGCCAUGUCAGACUCCUGUCUGCAAGCACAACAUGGCAUCAGCAAUAAUGUCGGAGUUUGGUGCCUGAGCAUGGAAUGGAUCCCAUGUUGGGCUGUCUUUAAAUGGCCUUUUCUUCAGUCUCUGCUCCAUUAUUUUCUCUGCAUUUCCUUUAGACAGGAACAAUUCUGAGUCAAAAUCUUUGAGAUGAGUAGAUGGCCCCAGUUAUGAUGAAUGUUAUUUAACUUCUGUUUAAUGUUCUUUCAACUCGAGGUGUUCUUUGAAUAAUGUCAAGCAUCCCAUUAAUAUUUUGAAAUAGUAAGAUAGCACUUACCCACAAUUCUAUAGCCAUCUAAAUUUUACUCUAAAUAGAAUUAAUGUGUACAUAAAUUACACAUUAAUUCUAUUUUUAUUUUCAUGAUAAAGUUUGGUUACUUUUUGCAUCUAAAAUUGUUAUUGGGAAACUAUGUUUUCCAUCAUAGAGCUUUAGAAACAAAAGGGAUGUUUCAAACAGCUAAAACAAAUAUCUUGUCCUGUCUAAAAGAACUACAGAGAUAAAAAUGGAGCAGGGACUGAAGGAAUGGCCAACGAACAACAAGCCCAUCCCCUAGGCAAAGACCAGUUCCUGACACAAUGAUACUCUGUUCUUCUUGCAGAUUGGAGCCUAGAAUAGUUGUCUUCUGAGAGGCUCUACCCAGCAGCUGAUGAAACCAAAUGCUGAUACCCACAGUCAAACAUUAAAAGGAGGUCGGGGACUCUUGUGGAGGAGUUAUGGGAAGGAUUGAAGGCCUGAAGGAGAUAGGAACUCUAAAAGUCCAACAGAGUCUAGACCUUUGGGACCUUUCAGAGAUUGAGCCACCAACCAAAGAGCUAACAGGAACUGGACCUAGGCCCCUGGCACAUAUGUAGCAGAUGUGCAACUUAGUCUCCAUAUGGGUCCCCCAAAACCUGGAGUGGGAUCUGUCCAUAAAGCUGUUGCCUGACUGUAGAAUCUGUUUUCCCCAACAGGGCUGCCUUAUCUGGCCUCAGUAGGAGAGAAUUUGCCAAAGUCAGCAGAGACUUGAUAGUACCAUGGUUGGAGGAUACCCAGGGAGGAAAACUGAAUUACCCAGAACCAAACUCCAAAUUUCAAGGAAGAAUCAAGACCAUACUCUUGCACUUGAUGUCCAGGACAAUUGGACAGACACACCUGCUGAGAGUCUAGAGGAGCCCAUUCGUCUCAGGAACAAUCAGCCUCCAACCCCUGCUACGUGAAUUAUACUCCCCUUCUGGUGGUGCCUUCUCCCAUGGCAGAGUACCAGCUUGUCUGCUCCUCAGAACACACCACAGUCUCAAGGCCUCCCAGGAGAUCUGUUGCAUCCAGGGCCCCACUGCCUGAAGGCCUCAUAGGAGCAGCCUAUUGCUAUUAAAAUCGCCACUCCCACUCUGACUAAGUUAACAGAAGCUUAACUGACAGGACCAUGGGCAUAGUGAUGAGGCUGGAGAUGAAGAACAGGAGAGGAUGAAGAAGUUCAGUAGAGUGCUUUGACUUCUACAACUAUCAAAAAUGCCCAUCUGACUGUUUAUCUCUCACUCCAGUUAAUGACUCAGGAAAUGGAACUCAACUUGGAUCUCACUAUGGAUCUCAGGAUGGACUUUUCUGCCACCACCUCCUGUGCACUGAUUUACAAGUGUGCUCCAUCACAACGGGAUUUGCACUUAGAGGAUGGGAACCUGACCAGUACCAGCAUGCAUGAUUCACAAAAUCCACUGUUAUCAUUUCUAUUAUGUUAACACAGAUGUAUUUUUCUUUAUAUUUAUUUCAAAUUCUUAAAGAUAAUAAAUUUAAAAUUUGUGA